GAGACCGGCGCACGGGUGCGUAACGCGUAUGCAAUCUACCUUUUACAGGGGAAUAGCCCAGAGAAAUUUGGAUUAAUGCCCCAUAGUAUGUAUGAAUCGCAUGGUUUAUACAUUAAAGUUCCAACGGUAAAAGAUGAGCAUGCGUCCCAUUAGUUAGUUGGUAAGGUAACGGCUUACCAAGACGAUGAUGGGUAGGGGUCCUGAGAGGGAGAUCCCCCACACUGGUACUGAGACACGGACCAGACUCCUACGGGAGGCAGCAGUGAGGAAUAUUGGACAAUGGGCGCAAGCCUGAUCCAGCCAUGCCGCGUGCAGGAAGAAGCAUCUAUGGUGUGUAAACUGCUUUUGUACAGGAAGAAACACUCCCUCGUGAGGGAGCUUGACGGUACUGUAAGAAUAAGGAUCGGCUAACUCCGUGCCAGCAGCCGCGGUAAUACGGAGGAUCCAAGCGUUAUCCGGAAUCAUUGGGUUUAAAGGGUCCGUAGGCGGUUUGAUAAGUCAGUGGUGAAAGCCCAUCGCUCAACGAUGGAACGGCCAUUGAUACUGUCAGACUUGAAUUACUAGGAAGUAACUAGAAUAUGUAGUGUAGCGGUGAAAUGCUUAGAUAUUACAUGGAAUACCAAUUGCGAAGGCAGGUUACUACUAGUGGAUUGACGCUGAUGGACGAAAGCGUGGGGAGCGAACAGGAUUAGAUACCCUGGUAGUCCACGCCGUAAACGAUGGAUACUAGCUGUUGGGAGUAAUCUCAGUGGCUAAGCGAAAGUGAUAAGUAUCCCACCUGGGGAGUACGU
This 791-nucleotide ribosomal RNA is filed under the name uncultured Bacteroidota bacterium. RNAcentral's name for it is "bacterial SSU rRNA". It matches the Rfam family "Bacterial small subunit ribosomal RNA", at positions 91 to 885 of the family's 1533-position model. Lineage: Bacteria; Pseudomonadati; Bacteroidota. The record is from RNAcentral.